Molecule: ribosomal RNA, 253 nt
Filed under: uncultured bacterium
Lineage: Bacteria
Description: partial 16S ribosomal RNA
Rfam family: Bacterial small subunit ribosomal RNA
Source: RNAcentral
UACGUAGGGGGGCAAGCGUUGUCCGGAAUUAUUGGGCGUAAAGCGCGCGCAGGCGGUUCAUUAAGUCUGGUGUAUAAACCAAGGGCUCGACCUUUGGACGCAUUGGAAACUGAUGGACUGGAGUGUAGGAGAGGAAAGUGGAAUUCCACGUGUAGCGGUGAAAUGCGUAGAGAUCGGGAAGAACACCGGUGGCGAAAGCGCUCUACUGGACCUCAACUGACACUGAGGGACGAAAGCUAGGGGAGCGAAAGGG